Molecule: non-coding RNA, 28 nt
Filed under: Homo sapiens (human)
Lineage: Eukaryota; Metazoa; Chordata; Mammalia; Primates; Hominidae
Source: RNAcentral
UGUAACACUGACCACAAAUGUCUGCAGC